RNAcentral lists this long non-coding RNA (505 nucleotides) under Homo sapiens (human). RNAcentral describes it as "non-protein coding lnc-GEMIN6-1:5". The record is from RNAcentral. Lineage: Eukaryota; Metazoa; Chordata; Mammalia; Primates; Hominidae.
GUUUUGCCAUGUUUCCGAGGAUGGUCUCAAAUUCCUGGGCUCAAGCAAUCGUCAGCCUCUCAAAGUGCUGGGAUUACAGAUCACUAAACGAAGGCAGACAUCAACAUUUCUGGAUUCAGGGUCCAGAGUGCUCACCAUUACACCAUGGAACCUCAAACCAGACAUCAACGUCUCUAAUGAGUCUUUCUUUAUUCCAAUAAAAGAAAAUGGUCAGUGAGAGGUUGGUUUAGAUGAUUUGGGAAAAGGUAAUAGAAGUCCUGUUCACAAGGUUGAUACUGUGUACCCCCAGCAAGUUAUGUCACCUCUUCUGGUCCUUGGUUUUAUCAUUUCUUUUUUUCUUUUUUUAAAGAGUAGUCAAGUCCCAACAAUCAAUUGAGAUAACUCACUACCACUGGACCAGCUGGUUUAUAAUUUGUUGUUAAGUCAGGGAGCUGGACUAAGAUAUUUUUGCAGAUCUGUGAGUUUAUAAUUCGAUGACAUAUAACAUUAAAACUGAAGAAACUGA